GACGGACGCUGGCGGCGUGCCUAAUACAUGCAAGUAGAACGCUGAAGGAGGAGCUUGCUUCUCUGGAUGAGUUGCGAACGGGUGAGUAACGCGUAGGUAACCUGCCUGGUAGCGGGGGAUAACUAUUGGAAACGAUAGCUAAUACCGCAUAAGAGUAGAUGUCGCAUGACAUUUGCUUAAAAGGUGCAAUUGCAUCACUACCAGAUGGACCUGCGUUGUAUUAGCUAGUUGGUGAGGUAACGGCUCACCAAGGCAACGAUACAUAGCCGACCUGAGAGGGUGAUCGGCCACACUGGGACUGAGACACGGCCCAGACUCCUACGGGAGGCAGCAGUAGGGAAUCUUCGGCAAUGGACGGAAGUCUGACCGAGCAACGCCGCGUGAGUGAAGAAGGUUUUCGGAUCGUAAAGCUCUGUUGUAAGAGAAGAACGAGUGUGAGAGUGGAAAGUUUACACUGUGACGGUAUCUUACCAGAAAGGGACGGCUAACUACGUG
Molecule: ribosomal RNA, 495 nt
Filed under: uncultured bacterium
Lineage: Bacteria
Description: partial 16S ribosomal RNA
Rfam family: Bacterial small subunit ribosomal RNA
Source: RNAcentral